Molecule: ribosomal RNA, 433 nt
Filed under: uncultured bacterium
Lineage: Bacteria
Description: partial 16S ribosomal RNA
Rfam family: Bacterial small subunit ribosomal RNA
Source: RNAcentral
AACGAACGCUGGCGGCAUGCCUAACACAUGCAAGUCGAACGAGACCUUCGGGUCUAGUGGCGCACGGGUGCGUAACGCGUGGGAACCUGCCUUUAGGUUCGGAAUAACUCAGAGAAAUUUGAGCUAAUACCGGAUGAUGUCUUCGGACCAAAGAUUUAUCGCCUUUAGAUGGGCCCGCGUUGGAUUAGCUAGUUGGUGGGGUAAAGGCCUACCAAGGCGACGAUCCAUAGCUGGUCUGAGAGGAUGAUCAGCCACACUGGGACUGAGACACGGCCCAGACCCUGCGGGGAGGAAGCAGGGGGAAAUUGUGAAAAAUGGGCGAAGCCCUGACCAAGCAUUGCCGCGUGAGUGAUGAAGCCUUUGGGGUUGAAAAGCUUUUUUCCCCGAGAUGAUAAUGACAUUAGCGGGAAAAUAGGCCCCGGCAAACUCCGUG